GGUUAAGCGAAGAAAGGCACAGGGCGGAUGCCCUGGCACUGGGAGCCGAAGAAAGACGUGAUAAGCUGCGAAAAGCUGCGGGGAGUGGCAAAUACACUGUGAUCCGCAGAUAUCUGAAUGGGGAAACCCGCGCAGGAAGCCCCUGCGCAUCCAUAACAGAAUAAGGGGAGAACCCUAAUAGGUUAUGGAGGGGAACCCGGCGAACUGAAACAUCUAAGUAGCCGGAGGAAAAGAAAACAAAAGUGAUUCCCGAAGUAGCGGCGAGCGAACCGGGAUUAGCCCAAACCGGUAUGCGUGUCAUACCGGGGUGAGGACUGCAAAAAGGUACUGCGGAGAGUAACAGAACAGGCAUGGGAAGGCCGGCCGGAGAGGGUGAGAGCCCCGUAAGUGAAACAGGAAGCAGACCAGGCAGGAUCCAGAGUACUGCGGGGCACGAGAAACCCAGCAGGAAGAUACGGGGACCACCCCGAAAGGCUAAAUACUACCCAGUGACCGAUAGAGUAAAGUACUGUGAAGGAAAGGUGAAAAGGACCCCGGGAGGGGAGUGAAAGAGAACCUGAAACCCUGUGUCCACAAGCUGUGGAAGCAUGGAGACAUGCAACCGCGUACUUUUUGUAGAACGGUCCGGCGAGUUGCGCAUGCAGGCAAGGUUAAGCCGCUAAGCGGCGGAGCCGAAGUGAAAGCGAGCGUUAAGAGCGCGCAGAGUCGGCAUGAGCAGACCCGAAACCGGGUGACCUAUCCAUGUCCAGGCUGAAGCUGCCGUAAAAGGCAGUGGAGGGCCGAACCCACAUCCGUUGAAAAGGGUGGGGAUGAGGUGUGGAUAGCGGAGAAAUUCCAAUCGAACCCGGAGAUAGCUGGUUCUCCCCGAAAUAGCUUUAGGGCUAGCCCUUCAUAUACCUGCCGGAGGUAGAGCACUGAAUUUCCUAGGGGGCGUCAAAGCCUACCGAAGAAUAUCAAACUCCGAAUGCCGGGAAGGAAAAG
Molecule: ribosomal RNA, 981 nt
Filed under: Parablautia intestinalis
Lineage: Bacteria; Bacillati; Bacillota; Clostridia; Lachnospirales; Lachnospiraceae
Description: Bacterial large subunit ribosomal RNA
Rfam family: Bacterial large subunit ribosomal RNA
Source: Rfam by way of RNAcentral